Biomphalaria glabrata is the source of this 1564-nucleotide long non-coding RNA. RefSeq lists it as uncharacterized. NCBI's taxonomy places the organism in Eukaryota, Metazoa, Mollusca, Gastropoda, Planorbidae. The record is from RefSeq and is a predicted model, not a curated record. The transcript is spliced from 2 exons.
CAGGUAGGGCAAUGCUUCUGACUUGUCUGAUGUCUGUUUCAUGCUCUGUUGAAUUGUCUGGUCGAGAAGACUUGUCAGACAGUAAUGGAGCUCAACCUGAACGUUUGACCUGGUUCAUAUCGUGUCUUGUUCAUGUUCAGAUUCUGUGUCUGUGUGUGUCGUGCCGGGUGUCAUCAACAAUGUUAUAUUUCUCACCCAUGCAGUCAUUUGACUUAAAACAAGCCGUGCUAGACUUUGGGGGAAAUUUUCUGAUGCAGGAUCACUAUUGACAUUUUUUAAAAAUCUGACCCCUUACUAUCCUGUGCACAAGUCAUUCUUAAAGAAGAAGGGAAAAAAGUUCGAACCGGGGAUCAAAUACAUAUCAUCUGUAUUACUUUGACAUUGUGGACUCUUCAGUCAAAUAUUGGGAAGAAGAGCACACCGGUCCUCGCCUACCCGUCAGGAGAAAUCCUUCCUAAAGAUCAUUAGGAUAAUGGGGCAGCCCGAUUCCAAAAUGGACUUUUCGGAGUUAUUUUUUUGCCGGCAUUCUAGGUAUUCAUGAUUGGAAGUUUUUGGUUUUUUUUUAAAUUACUUUUGUAUAGCGCAUUUUUCGUGCAUUGACAUGUCUUGUGAGAGGAGGGGGGGGGGUGAUGAGGUAUCUGGAAGAAGGUCUCCUUGCUCUACUUCAGCCAAUGCAACUCAGGGAUUUGAACUCCUGCCCCUCUCCCACUUGAUAGUUCAGCGAUUUAUGUCAUUCAGCCACUCAUCUAAUAGAAUUAUUUCAUUUACAAAAUGCAUGUUGGUGUGGACAGACAGGUCAAGUGAAGACAGACAGGAAAUCUCAGGACGAUCAAACAAGUAUGUCUGCAGUGAUGUGGGACCAGGUCUAACUACCAUCUUUGACUACUACAUGGUCAGCUUGAGAGUCAAUCGCCUUACUUAACUGAUUACAUGACAGCAACUGACCUUGUCAUUAUCUUCAUGUCAUAGGAAACACGGAGGAUAUGCUCUACUAAUCUCGGAGUGCUGGGAUGUAAUUCCUUCUUUGCACAUCCGGUGCAGGUCUACUAAUGAUCCCCUAGAUCUACAUGUUUCACUACCAAGAUGUACCUAACCCAGGUAUUAGAUAUUUCACCUCGCAGAUUUGCUUGACAUGGCCGACCUUGACACGUGACAUCAACACGUGGUAUACAAUUACAAUCAGGUAUCCAGAAAUGUUUGUUUCACAUCCUUAAUGUUUAAAGAUAGAAAUCUGGAAAAAUCUAGUUUGGACAGGUUUAAUAUGGAUGUCAUGACUAACUAGAAUGACAGGAUAUCUGAGUGAAAAGUCACUUUGCGUGAAAAUAACAGGGCUGGAAUUAGGUUCUAUGAGACCCUGGGCUGAAUUGUUGUGAUGGUCAGUGGCGUAGCAUCCAUGGCGCGAAGGGGUUCAAUGAACCCGGGCCCACGGGUACCUUGCUACGCCACUGGUGAUGGCCCCUCUCUCUUAUACAGAUGCUUUAAUAAAAUUGUAGCUUCUCAAUAGUGGAUAUGAUUAUUUAAAGGCAUGUCAUAUUUUCAAUGGAAUAAAAAGAACAUUUGUAAA